GGGCCUAUAGCUCAGCGGUAGAGCGGCCGGCUCAUAACCGGUUGGUCCCUGGUUCGAUCCCAGGUGGGCCCA
Molecule: transfer RNA, 72 nt
Organism: Syntrophobotulus glycolicus DSM 8271
Lineage: Bacteria; Bacillati; Bacillota; Clostridia; Eubacteriales; Desulfitobacteriaceae
Rfam family: tRNA
About the family: Transfer RNA (tRNA) molecules are approximately 80 nucleotides in length. Their secondary structure includes four short double-helical elements and three loops (D, anti-codon, and T loops). Further hydrogen bonds mediate the characteristic L-shaped molecular structure. tRNAs have two regions of fundamental functional importance: the anti-codon, which is responsible for specific mRNA codon recognition, and the 3' end, to which the tRNAs corresponding amino acid is attached (by aminoacyl-tRNA synthetases). tRNAs cope with the degeneracy of the genetic code in two manners: having more than one tRNA (with a specific anti-codon) for a particular amino acid; and 'wobble' base-pairing, i.e. permitting non-standard base-pairing at the 3rd anti-codon position.
Source: Rfam